This 384-nucleotide long non-coding RNA is filed under the name Capsicum annuum. RNAcentral describes it as "long non-coding RNA (CANN_LNC017519)". Lineage: Eukaryota; Viridiplantae; Streptophyta; Magnoliopsida; Solanales; Solanaceae. The record is from RNAcentral.
CCAUCACCUUUCACCCAAACCCCACUGUUGUUGGUUUUCUUGCCCUUAGAGAAUUCUUCUGUAUGAAAUCUGUACCCACUGACAGAGUACUUAGAAAACUUUUUGACUUUAGCAUUAGGUCCCCAAGCUAUAUCACGUAAAAAUUGGCCAUUUGAGUCAUAAUUAAGUGGAUUGUGAACCUAUAAAAAGUUGAAGAAAAGUUAAAAUUUAAAUAUACAUAUGACUGAACAAAAGUGUAAAUGGUGUUAAAUAUUUAAGUUACACUUACAUAUUCUCUAAACCACACUGAAAACAUAGCAUAAACAGCAGCAUCCCCGUGUAAAGCCACGAAGUAGCUGUACGACAAAGUUAUGACUUUCAUUAGUUAAAGUUUAGAUAGACCUU